UCCCUAGCUGGUUUGAGAGGAUGAUCAGCCACACUGGGACUGAGACACGGCCCAGACUCCUACGGGAGGCAGCAGUGGGGAAUAUUGCACAAUGGGCGCAAGCCUGAUGCAGCCAUGCCGCGUGUGUGAAGAAGGCCUUCGGGUUGUAAAGCACUUUCAGUCAGGAGGAAAGCGUGGUGGUUAAUACCCAUCAUGUGUGACGUUACUGACAGAAGAAGCACCGGCUAACUCCGUGCCAGCAGCCGCGGUAAUACGGAGGGUGCGAGCGUUAAUCGGAAUUACUGGGCGUAAAGCGUACGCAGGCGGUUUGUUAAGCGAGAUGUGAAAGCCCCGGGCUCAACCUGGGAACUGCAUUUCGAACUGGCAAACUAGAGUGUGAUAGAGGGUGGUAGAAUUUCAGGUGUAGCGGUGAAAUGCGUAGAGAUCUGAAGGAAUACCGAUGGCGAAGGCAGCCACCUGGGUCAACACUGACGCUCAUGUACGAAAGCGUGGGGAGCAAACGGGAUUAGAUACCCCGGUAGUCCACGCCGUAAACGAUGUCUACUAGAAGCUCGGAGCCUCGGUUCUGUUUUUCAAAGCUAACGCAUUAAGUAGACCG
This 598-nucleotide ribosomal RNA is filed under the name uncultured Pseudoalteromonas sp. RNAcentral's name for it is "bacterial SSU rRNA". It matches the Rfam family "Bacterial small subunit ribosomal RNA", at positions 280 to 871 of the family's 1533-position model. The record is from RNAcentral. Lineage: Bacteria; Pseudomonadati; Pseudomonadota; Gammaproteobacteria; Alteromonadales; Pseudoalteromonadaceae.